RNA transcript from Molossus molossus (Pallas's mastiff bat), 3640 nucleotides. It is a transcript of the gene named angiogenic factor with G-patch and FHA domains 1, with no coding region annotated. Lineage: Eukaryota; Metazoa; Chordata; Mammalia; Chiroptera; Molossidae. The transcript has 22 exons. The record is from RefSeq and is a predicted model, not a curated record.
UCUGGCUCUUGCUUCUCUGGCCCUCCCAUUUCUCUAAACCCUCCUGCGACUGCCUCGGUAGCUGGGGAAGGUAUUUAUUAAUAAAGUUUUACUGUUUCAAAGCCGGGCGGAUUGAGCUGGGUCCAUCCGCCUUCCCCUCGCUCGUUGUCCGCAGGUCCUCUCGGCUACAGGCAACGAGCUUCAGGACGCCAUGGCGAGGGGCCGCCGCGGCCGGGCGGGUAUGAGGCCGCCUUUCGCUGCCCGCGCGCUCGCGUGGCUUCUGGGGCCGCCAGCGUGCACCUCAGUCUGAGCGCAGCCCCUUCGCGCCCACGGGCCGCCUGGCGCCGGACUCCAUGGCGUCCGAGGCGCCGUCUCCUUCGUUGUCACCAUCGCCACCCACCUCCCCCGAGCCCGAGCUGGCCCAGUUGAGGCGGAAGGUGGAGAAGUUGGAACGCGAGCUGCGCAGCUGCAAGCGGCAGGUGCGGGAGAUCGAGAAGCUGCUGCAUCACACAGAGCGUCUGUACCAGAGCGCCGAGAGCAACAACCAGGAGCUCCGCACCCAGGUAGAAGAACUCAGUAAAAUACUCUAUUGUGGGAGAAACGAAGAUAAUAAGAAGUCUGAUGUAGAAGUACAAACAGAGAACCACCCUCCUUGGUCAAUCUCAGAUUAUUAUUAUCAGACAUACUAUAAGGAUAUUAGUCUUCCAAAUAAAGUAACAGAACUCUCAGUUCAGCAAGAUCAGGAUAUUGAGGUUUCUACUUAUAAUUCUAAAGACCAGUUACAAAUAGAAAAUGAUGCUUACACUGGUACUGAUGUGACGGAAGAGGUUGAAUGUGGACAAGAGGACCAUUUUGCCUCAAAUUCACAGGAGCCAGCAUCUGUGUUAGCAACAGAAGAUACAUCCUUAGAAGGUUCUUCAUUAGCUGAAAGUUUGAGAGCUGCAGCAGAAGCUGCUGUAUCACAGACUGGAUUUAGUUAUGAUGAGAAUACUGGACUGUAUUUUGACCACAGCACAGGUUUCUAUUAUGAUUCUGAAAAUCAACUAUAUUAUGAUCCUUCUACUGGAAUUUAUUACUAUUGUGAUGUGGAAAGUGGUCGAUACCAAUUUCAUUCUCGAGUAGAUUUGCAACCUUAUCAGACUUCUGGCACAAAACAAAGUAAAGAUAAAAAGUUGAAGAAGAAAAGAAAGGAUCCAGAUUCUUCUACAACAAAUGAGGAAAAGGAUUUGAAUUCAGAAGAUCAAAAAGCAUCCAGUAUCGAACAUAUGAACUGCAGUGAGGGAGAAGAUUGUGUAAAUGUGAAAAAGAAGGCCAAAAUAGACAUUCGUUAUAAAAAUAGUUCCCUGGAAUUCACUGUUCCAGUUAGUGGAAAGCCUACAGAAUUUUCUCUUAAUGAAAACAUCUAUAAUUCAACUUCAUUUAAAGAUGAGAAAAUCCUAGAGUCUGAUAGUGAGCCAGAAGAAGGUGAAAUUACAGACUCUCAGACUGAGGACAGUUAUGAUGAAGACAUUACCAGUGAAGACAAUGUAACUGCAGAAGAUACUGAGGAUGAAGAUGAGGAAAAAAUUUGGCCCCCUUGUAUUAGGGUAAUUGUUAUUAGAUCACCAGUGUUGCAGACAGGAUCACUUUUUAUCAUUACAGCUGUAAACCCUGCUACAAUUGGAAGAGAAAAAGAUAUGGAGCAUACUCUUCGAAUCCCUGAAGUUGGUGUCAGUAAGUUUCAUGCAGAAAUUUAUUUUGACCAUGACUUACAAAGCUAUGUCCUUGUGGAUCAAGGCAGUCAGAAUGGUACAGUUGUUAAUGGAAAACAGAUUCUUCAGCCUAAAACUAAAUGCGACCCUUAUGUACUUGAGCAUGGAGAUGAAGUGAAAAUUGGGGAGACUGUGUUGUCCUUUCACAUUCACCCUGGCAGUGACACCUGUGAUGGCUGUGAACCAGGGCAGGUUAGAGCUCAUCUUCGUCUUGAUAAGAAAGAUGAAUCUUUUGUUGGUCCAACACUAAGCAAAGAGGAAAAGGAGUUGGAAAGGAGAAAAGAGUUAAAGAAAAUACGAGUAAAAUACGGUUUACGGAAUACAGACUACGAAGAUGAAAAGGCAUUGAAGAAUCCAAAAUAUAAAGACAGGGCAGGAAAACGUAGGAAGCAGAUUGGAAGUGAAGGAACUUUCCAAAGAGAUGAUGCACCUGCAUCUGUUCAUUCUGAAAUUACUGAUAGCAACAAAGGUCGGAAGAUGUUGGAGAAAAUGGGUUGGAAAAAAGGAGAGGGCCUAGGGAAGGAUGGUGGAGGAAUGAAAACUCCGAUCCAGCUUCAGCUUCGACGAACACAUGCAGGCUUGGGGACAGGCAAACCAUCCUCAAUAGAAGAUGUUCAUCUUCUCCAAACCAAGAGUAAGAAGAACUGGGAGAAAGCGCGCGAGAGGUUUGCUGAAAACUUCCCAGAAACUAAACCUCAAAAAGAUGCACCAGGAACUGUGCCUUGGGUCAAAGGGACUGUAGAUUGAAGAUGUACGUCUUCAGCGGAUAUCCAUGAAGUGCUUCCUACAGGCCAGGCACAUUCUAGGCACUUGGGAUACAGCAGUAAACAAACCAGGUGAGAAUCUUAAUCCUACCGUCACAGCACACCAAGGGUUAUCAUCACUCCACCUACAACUAGAAGUGGGAUCCUUGUUACCAUCUGAUGGGGAAGAAAGAGAAAAGGUGAAAAAAAGGAAGAACAGAAAAGACAAGGCAAUAUGAGUGACAGCGCUGCAGGCCUUCCUGUUCUAACUCACCCACCAGGACCCCUAGCUGAGGCUUCUGCUGGGAAAGCGGACCCAGGAGGAGGAGACAUCGGAAGAGAUGUGGGAGCGACUCUGCACAGACAGCUUUGCCAGGAGAAGAGGAAACCAUUGUGUGUGUGACUUGGGGGUACAAGCAGUAGUCUGACCCACAGAUCUAGUGUUUAUCAUCCUGUCCUCAGAAACAAGAUUGGAAUGCUGUGGCCCAUUGGUUUUGGCUGGGUCUACUUGGGAUGAUCUGGCCUGCUUGGAUUUGAAGAGAGGCCCAUAGGAAACAUGGAGAACUGGAUCUUUGCAUGGCAAGCAAUGGAUUUGUCAGUCAUGGGGAUGCACUGCUUAGAUGUCCCGUUAAGACAAUAUGUAAUGGAAAGGGUAGUUGACUGACAGCCCAGCUGCCACACCUCUGGACCCACCAUGUGAACAAAAAGGUCAUACUUCCCUUAGACAACUUCCAGCCUGUAACUGAAUAAGCCUGUGAAUCAAGAAGAAUCUCCACGGUUAUCCUCGGUGCAAUAGUACUCCCAAGAGUCAAGAAAACCAGAUGAUGGCAGACACCAGUCCCUGGACCUGGACCAACAGUUAUUGGUUUAUUCAUAAGUGUGGCACUGCUUGUCAACAUUCCUCAGUGUGCUUUGAGGUCUGACACCAUUUGAUGACAAAGAGCCACCAACAGAAGAAUGAUUCAAGUGACCCUGAUGAUGCCCUGAUGCAACAUGGGACUAACAGAACUGAGCUGACCCUGAGAUUUUGCGAGGAUUUAAAGUGAUAAAUUCACUAUUUUAGCUAUAGGAGAAGAUGUUCUUGAACUGGGGUUGAGGUGCUAUCCUGUGGCCGCAAGCCAACAUAGUUACUGUGGAAGUGAUCCAUGAUACCUCAACUGGGAUCCA